GUCCGGAUAGCUUAGUGGUCAGAGCGUCUGCCUAGUGAGCAUGAGACCCUGGUUCAAAUCCUGGUCCCGCACA
Schistocerca serialis cubense is the source of this 73-nucleotide non-coding RNA. Lineage: Eukaryota; Metazoa; Arthropoda; Insecta; Orthoptera; Acrididae. The record is from the annotation of a RefSeq genome assembly.